GGCGGGGUCUGACCUUGGCUGCUGGCAGGGCCCGCCGGCUGAGGCAAGGACUGCCUGGCCGCUUGGAGUGGUCACGGUCCGUUGGAUCCCGAGUGAGGAUGGAGAGGGCGAGGAGAACUCGCGGCCCGAACAGGUGAUGACCAUGCACGGGAAAGGCAGGGGCAGAACCCAGGCCUGAACGCCAGCCACCAGAAUCCUCCCGGGGAUUGAGCAGUGGUGCCCGGAACAGAUCCCAUCCGCGCCAGCUCCUGGUCACUGGACCUGCCACCACCCUCCCCCCAAGCAGAGCAGAGAAGACCCCCCCCUCCCCCGGCCAGGGAGGGGGUGGGCAGAGGAGAAGGUAUUAGGAACAUCCAGACAGUGCAGGGGCCGCUGGGGGCGGGCGGGAUUAGCAGAUUAGCUCCGAGGAGGACAGAGAUGAGGUCAGUGCUAAGUGGAUUUCCAGAAAGCGGCCUCCAGUCCAACAGCCCCGGCCCCAGAAGCAGCAGGGCCACGAGGAGGGGCCAAGAGCCAGUCACGGGGGCAACAGGUGCGCCGCUGGCCCCGGCCUCCACUUCUGAGCCUCUGCCAGCGGGCCGUGUGCUUUAACCCCUCCUCGCCUCAGUUUCCUCAUCCAGAGAGUGGGGCCAUGGCGGUCGUGUCGACCUCAGAGGAGAAGAGUGCUCGUUAGUGCCAGGUUCGUGCGUCCGGCACCGAGCAGGUGCUCAGUGAACAUUCUUAGGACUGUCCUCUAAAGGUCAUCCUCAAGCCCCAGGGUCAAACGCGAGCAAAGAAAGAACUUGUUGGUCAAUGUGAAGUCAGGCAAAAGCAGGAGUUCCAUGCAGGAGCACGGUGUACGUACAGAAGAAGUGUGCCCCCCGCCGCCGCCGCCCUGGUGGCCACGUCACGCCCCCGACCCCCGCCGUUUCGGCCACAGUGGCACACGUGGCCCCUCCCCACCCUGACGGUGCCCGAGCCCGGUGUGCACCGAGCCCCGAAGGCGUUAACGCCCCAGGACGGGCCUCACCAGCGGGCACACGCCCCAGCCUCCUGUCUGCAGACAAACCGUCGUGGGGGCAUCCAGAAGCACGAGAGCCCCUGUGUGUUGGCUCCCCCGUGCCGCCCCCUCACCUGGCGUCACCCCGAAUACGCCUCCCGUGCCCCAGGCCGUGCCACCGGGGCAAGCAGACAAGCACCACGUUCCAAACAGGAAGCGGAGCGGACUCUGAGAAGCACAGGUGUGGGAAGGAGCAGUGAUGGUGGCGUUUCUUUUCUGUCCCUCCGAACGUCCAGGAGUACAAUCGUGUGACUCAA
Molecule: long non-coding RNA, 1293 nt
Organism: Herpailurus yagouaroundi (jaguarundi)
Lineage: Eukaryota; Metazoa; Chordata; Mammalia; Carnivora; Felidae
Exons: 2
Source: RefSeq, a predicted model, not a curated record